This is a long non-coding RNA of Rhagoletis zephyria (snowberry fruit fly), 1027 nucleotides long. RefSeq lists it as uncharacterized. The record is from RefSeq and is a predicted model, not a curated record. Lineage: Eukaryota; Metazoa; Arthropoda; Insecta; Diptera; Tephritidae.
UAAUCGGCAAUCUUCUUUUUUUGGGAGGUCAACUGCAGUUGCAAUGAUGACCACUUUUUCAAAACCCAUUUUCGCAUGACACGUGCCAGUUUUAACACACUCUGUGGCUUUCUCGGCAAUUUAGAAAAAGCCGAUACAAGCUGGCGCACGACAAUUUCAUUGCAAAAGCGAGUAGCAAUCGCUUUAUUUGCCCUUGGUUCAGCUGGAGAGUAUCGAGUAGUAUCUGAAUUGUUUGGUGUUGGCAAAUCAUCUGUGUGUGCAAUAUUGAUGGAAUUCUGCGAAGAAGUGUGGCAAGCGUUGUCCCCACAGUAUAUAAAGAAAUUGCCAUCCACGUAAGAAAGAGUCGCUGAAUGUGUGAAUGGUUUUCAUCGCCUUGGCUUUCCACAAUGUCUGGGAGCAAUUGAUGGAUGUCACAUCGAAAUAAAACCAAACAAGACUGAUGCAACUGACUAUUACAAUUAUAAGGGAUGGCAUUCUGUUGUACUUCUUGCGCUUGUGGAUUACAGAUGCCGUUUUUUAUAUAUAAAUAUUGGUGCUCCGGGACGUUGCAAUGACUCCCAAAUAUAUAAUUCAUCCCUACUUAAAAAGGUGUUAACUGAGGACGAAGUAUUGGCGGCCAAUAAAAAGAAUAUACAUGGUGUACAAAUGCCGGUUGGUAUCUUGGAUUCGGCAUUUCGUUUUUCCACCACUUUAAUGAAGCCAUACCAGCCAGAAGAGUGGUAGAGAAUGCUUUCGGUCAUUUAAAAGCCCGUUUUCGUCGCAUUGGAAAAGGCUUAGAUAACCGAAUAGGGAACGCGCCGAUGAUUAUUCGAGCUUGCUGUGUUUUACACAACUUUUUAAACGAAGAAAGUGAUCAUAUUAAUCAAAUAUGGUUAGAAAAUUUGGAAGAAUUUGACCGAAAUCGGGAAAACCCUUCGCAAAAAGUUGUACUUGCUGAUAACGAAGCCUCAGCUGUGUUCUUAUUUUGGUAAGUAAAAGUUAUUCUUUCCCCAUAACUUUUUAUUGAAAAGUGUAUUUAUUUAUUUGC